GAUGAACGCUGGCGGCGUGCCUAAUACAUGCAAGUCGAGCGAACAGACGAGGAGCUUGCUCCACUGACGUUAGCGGCGGACGGGUGAGUAACACGUGGAUAACCUACCUAUAAGACUGGGAUCACUUCGGGAGACCGGAGCUAAUACCGGAUAAUAUAUUUAACCGCAUGGUUCAAUAGUGAAAGACGGUUUUGCUGUCACUUAUAGCUGGAUCCGCGCCGCAUGAGCUAGUUGGUAAGGUAACGGCUUACCAAGGCGACGAUGCGUAGCCGACCUGGGAGCGGGUAGGGCGCCACUGGAACUGGAACGCGGUCCAGACACCGAGGGGAGGCCGCGGUAGCGACUCUUCCGAAAAGGGCGAAAUCCUGCCGGAGCAACGCCGCGUGAGUGAUGAAAGUCUUCGGAGCGGAAAACUCUGUUAUUAGUGAAAAACAAAUGUGUAAGUAACUAUGCACGUCUUGACGGUACCUAAACAGAAAGCCACGGCUAACUACGUG
RNAcentral lists this ribosomal RNA (497 nucleotides) under uncultured bacterium. RNAcentral describes it as "partial 16S ribosomal RNA". It matches the Rfam family "Bacterial small subunit ribosomal RNA", at positions 28 to 507 of the family's 1533-position model. The record is from RNAcentral.